RNAcentral lists this ribosomal RNA (908 nucleotides) under Polyozellus marymargaretae. RNAcentral's name for it is "partial large subunit ribosomal RNA". It matches the Rfam family "Eukaryotic large subunit ribosomal RNA", at positions 72 to 961 of the family's 3401-position model. The record is from RNAcentral. Lineage: Eukaryota; Fungi; Basidiomycota; Agaricomycetes; Thelephorales; Thelephoraceae.
GGAUUCCCCUAGUAACUGCGAGUGAAGUGGGAAAAGCUCAAAUUUAAAAUCUGGCGUACCUUUGGUCGUCCGAGUUGUAGUCUGGAGAAGUGUUUUCCGCGCUGGACCGUGUAUAAGUCCCUUGGAACAGGGCGUCAUAGAGGGUGAGAAUCCCGUCUUUAACAUGGACUACCAGUGCUUUGUGAUGCGCUCUCAAAGAGUCGAGUUGUUUGGGAAUGCAGCUCAAAAUGGGUGGUAAAUUCCAUCUAAAGCUAAAUACAGGCGAGAGACCGAUAGCGAACAAGUACCGUGAGGGAAAGAUGAAAAGCACUUUGGAAAGAGAGUUAAACAGUACGUGAAAUUGCUGAAAGGGAAACGCUUGAAGUCAGUCGUGUCUGCCGGGACUCAGCCUUGCUUUUUUGCUUGGUGCACUUUCCGGUUUGAUAGGCCAGUAUCAAUUUUGACUGUUGGAAAAAGAUUAGGGGAAGGUGGCAUCUUCGGGUGUGUUAUAACCCUUUAUCGCAUACAACGGUUGGGAUUGAGGACCGCAGCAUGCCUUUAUGGCCGGGGUUCGCCCACGUUACAUGCUUAGGAUACUGGUGUAAUGGCUUUAAGCGACCCGUCUUGAAACACGGACCAAGGAGUCUAACAUGCCUGCGAGUGUUUGGGUGGAAAACCCAAGUGCAUAAUGAAAGUGAUAGUUGAGACCUUUGUCAUGGAGGGCAUCGACGCCCGGACUUGAUCUACGGAGACGGUUCCGCGGUAGAGCAUGUAUGUUGGGACCCGAAAGAUGGUGAACUAUGCCUGAAUAGGGUGAAGCCAGAGGAAACUCUGGUGGAGGCUCGUAGCGAUUCUGACGUGCAAAUCGAUCGUCAAAUUUGGGUAUAGGGGCGAAAGACUAAUCGAACCAUCUAGUAGCUGGUUCCUGC